AGCGCAGACGGUUGAUUAAGUCUGAUGUGAAAGCCCGGAGCUCAACUCCGGAAUGGCAUUGGAAACUGGUUAACUUGAGUGCAGUAGAGGUAAGUGGAACUCCAUGUGUAGCGGUGGAAUGCGUAGAUAUAUGGAAAAACACCAGUGGCGAAGGCGGCUUACUGGACUGUAACUGACGUUGAGGCUCGAAAGUGUGGUAGCAAACA
This 206-nucleotide ribosomal RNA is filed under the name uncultured bacterium. RNAcentral describes it as "partial 16S ribosomal RNA". It matches the Rfam family "Bacterial small subunit ribosomal RNA", at positions 568 to 774 of the family's 1533-position model. The record is from RNAcentral.